AACACUUCUGCGUGUACAUAGUAAACCCCCAUCCACAUUCAACCCGGCUGAGUUUCCUGGGGCCUGAACCGGGAUGUCUGCCGCUGUAUUCAGCUUCUUACUAGAAGAAAAUACUAAUGUCAGGUGAGAAAAUGAAGGCACGGAGAAGACAAUGUUCUCUCGGUCGCAUAACUGGCAAGAAUUGAGGUUGCCGCAGACCUGUACUGAUUCCCCGCCAGUGACUUGGAUAGCUUCCACCGCUAACAGUUUCACAUCCACUGAGUUAGGGGAAGAGAGAAGUGGAGAAUUAAAUAUUCAAAUCUUCCAUCUAAAAGUGACACUUCUGUUCAUAUUUUAUGGGUUAAGGCAAGUCAAUGGUCAUGCCCAACUUCAGGAAAGCAAGAAAGCAUGUUAUUUUUGUGUGCUCGGAUAGAGACGAGAACUCUAUAGCAGGGAACACUGUGAUGUGUGCCACAGGGGCUAAUUGUCUCUGCACCAGUAAAGUUAUUUUCUAGUAGUGGGGAGUUAAACAUUGAAUGAAUAAUCACAAAGACAUAUGCAAUAGCAUUAUAUUAAAUGCCACAAUAAUAAUAAUAAUGAAAAUUUGUUAAUUGUUCCAAGCAUUUUAUGUACAGUCAUGUGUUUAAAUUUCUACACUCUAACUUUGUGAGAUAGAUACUGUAGAAGACCAGAAUAUGCCACUUCAAAAUAUGUCUUUUUGGUAUAAGUAUUUGUUUGAGAAACAGCAGCUAUAGGAGCAACUCUGAGAAUAGAGUGGAAUUACCUUUUUGUAGGGUGAAUUUAAAUCUAUAAAGGGAAUUUUCAUUUGUAAGAAUGUCUUCCUCUGAGUACUAGGAAGAAAAGGAUGGCACUAAAUUACUAGAAACUCUUAUUAAUGGAGAGGGCACUGACUUAAAUCUGCAUAACAAACUUUAUCUUUGUUUACCAUGCUUUACCUGGUCACUUCCUCAUAACUGCACCCCUACCCCGAUACUCCUCUUUCUUUGUUUCAGCUGAAGAUGAUAUUUAAGUUUGAAUUCAAAGCCACCUCUUUGAAAAUUACUAAUUCCCUAUCUCAUAUAUAUAUAUAUGAAAUAUACAUGUUAAUAAACUUGUGGGAUUUUUGUUGUUGUUGUUAAUCUGUCUUUUGUUAUAGGGGAUCCCAGCUUAGAACUCAUAAAGGAUAGAGAGAAAACUUAUCUUUUCUCCCCCCAA
Molecule: long non-coding RNA, 1194 nt
Filed under: Papio anubis (olive baboon)
Lineage: Eukaryota; Metazoa; Chordata; Mammalia; Primates; Cercopithecidae
Description: lncRNA (ENSPANG00000048465.1)
Source: RNAcentral